UGUUGGUCUGAAAUCAGGUGGGAUUACCCGCUGAACUUAAGCAUAUCAAUAAGCGGAGGA
This 60-nucleotide ribosomal RNA is filed under the name Lentamyces parricida. RNAcentral's name for it is "partial 28S ribosomal RNA". It matches the Rfam family "Eukaryotic large subunit ribosomal RNA", at positions 1 to 57 of the family's 3401-position model. Lineage: Eukaryota; Fungi; Mucoromycota; Mucoromycetes; Mucorales; Lentamycetaceae. The record is from RNAcentral.